This 435-nucleotide ribosomal RNA is filed under the name uncultured bacterium. Its description in RNAcentral is "partial 16S ribosomal RNA". It matches the Rfam family "Bacterial small subunit ribosomal RNA", at positions 29 to 507 of the family's 1533-position model. The record is from RNAcentral.
AACGAACGCUGGCGGCAGGCCUAACACAUGCAAGUCGAGCGGACAUCUUCGGAUGUUAGCGGCGGACGGGUGAGUAACGCGUGGGAACGUGCCCUUUGCUUCGGAAUAGCCUCGGGAAACUGGGAGUAAUACCGGAUGUACCCUUUGGGGGAAAGAUUUAUCGGCAAAGGAUCGGCCCGCGUUGGAUUAGGUAGUUGGUGGGGUAAUGGCCUACCAAGCCGACGAUCCAUAGCUGGUUUGAGAGGAUGAUCAGCCACACUGGGACUGAGACACGGCCCAGACUCCUACGGGAGGCAGCAGUGGGGAAUCUUAGACAAUGGGGGAAACCCUGAUCUAGCCAUGCCACGUGAGCGAUGAAGGCCUUAGGGUUGUAAAGCUCUUUCACCGGGGAAGAUAAUGACGGUACCCGGAGAAGAAGCCCCGGCUAACUCCGUG